AGUGAACGCUGGCGGUAGGCCUAACACAUGCAAGUCGAACGGCAGCACAGUAAGAGCUUGCUCUUACGGGUGGCGAGUGGCGGACGGGUGAGGAAUACAUCGGAAUCUACUUUUUCGUGGGGGAUAACGUAGGGAAACUUACGCUAAUACCGCAUACGACCUACGGGUGAAAGCAGGGGAUCUUCGGACCUUGCGCGAUUGAAUGAGCCGAUGUCGGGUUAGCUAGUUGGCGGGGUAAAGGCCUACCAAGCCGACGAUCCGUAGCUGGUCUGAGAGGAUGAUCAGCCGUCCUGGAGCUGAGACAAGGUCCAGACUCCUACGGGAGGCAGCAGUGGGGAAUAUUGGACAAUGGGCGCAAGCCUGAUCCAGCCAUACCGCGUGGGUGAAGAAGGCGUUCGGGUUGUAAAGCCCUUUUGUUGGGAAAGAAAAGCAGCAGGUUAAUACCCCGCUGUUCUGACGGUACCCAAAGAAGAAGCACCGGCUAACUUCGUG
RNAcentral lists this ribosomal RNA (492 nucleotides) under uncultured bacterium. Its description in RNAcentral is "partial 16S ribosomal RNA". It matches the Rfam family "Bacterial small subunit ribosomal RNA", at positions 29 to 507 of the family's 1533-position model. The record is from RNAcentral.